This 330-nucleotide long non-coding RNA is filed under the name Homo sapiens (human). RNAcentral's name for it is "HSALNT0012902". Lineage: Eukaryota; Metazoa; Chordata; Mammalia; Primates; Hominidae. The record is from RNAcentral.
GUGGCACAUUCGUAGCCUCAGCCUCCUAGGCUCAAGGGAUACUCCUGCAUCAGCCUCUUGAGACUACAGGCAGAAUCAGUGUUACAUUUGUGGUCAGAUGAGCUAACGACAUCCUUCCUGACUUCUUUCUCAGAAUUAGGAAACCCUGAUUAGCAUUUAGAACCUCAUUUUCACAGACUUCACUCAUUAAAACAUCAAGACCUAGGUAACGCACCACUGAAAUUUCAUAAUAUGGAGGAUAUGUUUAAAUAUGUUUAAAAUAUGUAUUUUUAACUGUGGUUAAAAUAUGUUUUUAAAAUGUUUAUGAGUCAAAAUAAUUAAAAUUGCCAU